CGGUUUUCUCGAUCUCAAAAUCGUAGAGGAGAUUCGGCUUAGAAGAUCUGCUCAUAAACAAAGAAAAUAAAAAAAAGAAAAAAUAGACAAAGGGAAAAGAAUUAAUUAACACCGCUCCCCGGCAACGGCGCCAAUUUGGUGGACGUCGUAUACCACCAAAUAAUUCCUGCAGAAUUAUCAAAAUAAAUUAGUAUCGUGAUAAGCAGGGUCGAUCCCACAGAGAGCAGGUAAAAUCA
This 236-nucleotide long non-coding RNA is filed under the name Salvia miltiorrhiza (redroot sage). Its description in RNAcentral is "long non-coding RNA (SMIL_LNC009626)". Lineage: Eukaryota; Viridiplantae; Streptophyta; Magnoliopsida; Lamiales; Lamiaceae. The record is from RNAcentral.